RNAcentral lists this ribosomal RNA (403 nucleotides) under uncultured bacterium. RNAcentral's name for it is "partial 16S ribosomal RNA". It matches the Rfam family "Bacterial small subunit ribosomal RNA", at positions 30 to 526 of the family's 1533-position model. The record is from RNAcentral.
AUUGAACGCUGGCGGCAGGCCUAACACAUGCAAGUCGAGCGAGCGGCGGACGGGUGAGUAAUGUAUGGGGACUGCCCGAUAGAGGGGGAUAACUACUGGAAACGGUGGCUAAUACCGCAUACUAUCGGAUAACCCAGAUGGGAUUAGCUAGUAGGUGGGGUAAAGGCUCACCUAGGCGACGAUCUCUAGCUGGUCUGAGAGGAUGACAAGCCACACUGGGCUGGCGACACGGCCCAGACUCCUACGGAGGCAGCAGUGGGGAAUAUUGCACAUGGGGCGCAAGCCUGAUGCAGCCAUGCGGCGUGUAUGAAGAAGGCCUUAGGGUUGUAAAGUCCUUUCAGCGGGGAGGCGUUACCCGCAGAAGAAGCACCGGCUAACUCCGUGCCAGCAGCCGCGGUAAUUC